This 274-nucleotide ribosomal RNA is filed under the name uncultured bacterium. RNAcentral's name for it is "partial 16S ribosomal RNA". It matches the Rfam family "Bacterial small subunit ribosomal RNA", at positions 523 to 796 of the family's 1533-position model. The record is from RNAcentral.
AUACGGAGGGUGCAAGCGUUAAUCGGAAUUACUGGGCGUAAAGCGCUCGUAGGCGGCUUGUUAAGUCGGAUGUGAAAGCCCCGGGCUCAACCUGGGAACUGCAUUCGAUACUGGCAAGCUAGAGUAUAGUAGAGGCAAGUGGAAUUCCGGGUGUAGCGGUGAAAUGCGUAGAUAUCCGGAGGAACAUCAGUGGCGAAGGCGACUUGCUGGACUAAUACUGACGCUGAGGAGCGAAAGCGUGGGGAGCAAACGGGAUUAGAUACCCCAGUAGUCC